RNAcentral lists this transfer RNA (66 nucleotides) under Cryptocephalus octoguttatus. RNAcentral describes it as "tRNA-Ala". The record is from RNAcentral. Lineage: Eukaryota; Metazoa; Arthropoda; Insecta; Coleoptera; Chrysomelidae.
GGGAUAAUAGUUAAUAAUAACAUUUAAUUUGCAAUUAGAAAGAAUUGAUUUUAUCAAUUUAUCUCA